UUUGGGGAAGAGGAGGUGGCGGUGGCAGUGGCAGCCGUUCCCUCACGCUGGGUGGGUCAGACAGUGGCGGUGGUGGUAGUCGUUCCCUAACACUUUGUGGAACAGACAGAGGCGGUGGCGGAGGCAGUUGUUCCCUUGCACUGGGUGGGUUAGACAGAGGCGGCGGUGGCAGUCGUUCCCUUACAGUGCGUGGGUUAGACGGAGGCAGUGGUGGGGGUGGCGG
Molecule: unclassified non-coding RNA, 223 nt
Filed under: Hevea brasiliensis (rubber tree)
Lineage: Eukaryota; Viridiplantae; Streptophyta; Magnoliopsida; Malpighiales; Euphorbiaceae
Source: RNAcentral